This 301-nucleotide ribosomal RNA is filed under the name uncultured bacterium. RNAcentral describes it as "partial 16S ribosomal RNA". It matches the Rfam family "Bacterial small subunit ribosomal RNA", at positions 509 to 807 of the family's 1533-position model. The record is from RNAcentral.
CAGUCGCCGCGGUAAUACGUAGGGUGCGAGCGUUAAUCGGAAUUACUGGGCGUAAAGCGUGCGCAGGCGGUUAUAUAAGACAGUUGUGAAAUCCCCGGGCUCAACCUGGGAACUGCAUCUGUGACUGUAUAGCUAGAGUACGGUAGAGGGGGAUGGAAUUCCGCGUGUAGCAGUGAAAUGCGCAGAUAUGCGGAGGAACACCGAUGGCGAAGGCAAUCCCCUGGACCUGUACUGACGCUCAUGCACGAAAGCGUGGGGAGCAAACAGGAUUAGAUACCCCAGUAGUCCCUGUCUCUUAUAC